CUGCAGCCAAUUAAGCGGACCGUGCUGCCCUCCCUAUGGCGCCCGGUGUGUAGUGGCUGCAAACAGCAGCCUCCUGGGUAGUGUAUGCAGCCUGUUGCUUGUAUAGGCUACUCAAGGGACCCCGGAGACAGCC
This is a small nucleolar RNA of Erinaceus europaeus (western European hedgehog), 133 nucleotides long. Its record names the gene SNORA70. It matches the Rfam family "Small nucleolar RNA SNORA70". From Rfam's summary of the family: snoRNA U70 seems to be exclusive to mammals and is a member of the H/ACA class of snoRNA which contain H (ANANNA) and ACA box motifs. Lineage: Eukaryota; Metazoa; Chordata; Mammalia; Eulipotyphla; Erinaceidae. The record is from Ensembl.